CACAGAGACAAAUUCUCUCUCUUCUAGUACAAGAUUACAGUAAAAUCAACUCAAAAGGUCUGAAUUGUUGUGAUUUAGCUGAUUUUUGAUUUUACCACGGUAAUUUACCAAAACAUAGUGUGUCCGUUACUAUGGCAACCACUCAUAUUUCCCACCCAAAAUUACUUUUUGAGCAGCAUUUAUGUAUUGCUUCUACUAGGC
This 201-nucleotide long non-coding RNA is filed under the name Mytilus galloprovincialis (Mediterranean mussel). The record is from RNAcentral. Lineage: Eukaryota; Metazoa; Mollusca; Bivalvia; Mytilida; Mytilidae.